UCUCUCGUUUCAGGCCACUUGCUCUUCCUCCUGUGUCAUUUGGUCUGAUGUCUCUCCUGAUUGCCUGAUUGUGCCCACCUGUGUCACCCUCCCUCAUGUGUAUAUAGUCCUCAUCUUCCCCUGUCUUGUUGCCAGAGUAAAUAGUCUUGUCACGUACCGCCAGCUUUUGUCCACAGCCUCGAACCAAGUCGAUAAGCUUGAGUCACAUGGUGUGGUCAGUGACUCGCAUCCCGCACAGCCGAAUGAAAUCAGUGAUUCAGUUCCUGUGCCGGCUUUGAAACAGAGAAGCGCCUUCAAGCAACUGCUGAUUUACGCACAUCAGCACUCACGGAAAAGCAAUGGAGGGCGCAGGCCAAGGUGACGAGCAAGAGGAGCACCAUUCUCCUUGCAGAGUAGAGAACACAACUCCCUGCACAAAUCCUGACGUCUUCACAGAUUGCACAAGGGGGGAAAAAAAAGUCUUAGUGUGUAUCAAAAUGACUCCGCAGCUUUUCAACUUGUCAAAGACUGAAGUUAAAUGCAGGGGAAAAGUCCAAUUUAAGAUGAAAACAGCCAGCAGAAGGAUGAAAUCAUAUGGCACAUCUGUUUCUUAACUUUGUUCCCCUUUGCUGUUGUCUACAGUGUGUGUGGAUGUGAUCCCAGGGAAGGUUUAUCCUUUGGGUCCCUCCUCCAGAUGUUUUUCCCCCUCGUGUUUUUUAACUCCGUCCUUGCUGUCUGACGUGUUGCAGUAUGGUGCUUAAAAACAGCAAAGCACUUUUGGUAAUUUACGGAACAAGUGUGAAGCUAUGGCUUUACACUUUGUUACACAUAUAUAUUUAGCAUUCUAUUUGAGUUACUUUAAUGAGUUUACAACUCCUCUGUGCUGUUUUGUACUGUUUUUCUACUUGUUUUGUUUAUUAUUAUUUAUUGAUUGUUAGUAAAUGUUGCAGAUUAUGAAUAAAGGAUUGUAAAAUUCACAAAAAACAGGAAAGCAUUUUUGAGGGAUCUUUGGCUAUCCAUCCAGACAUUUUCUACCGCUUGUUCCUUUCUGUGGCUAUUUUUUCCUAAAAACAGCAGAUGUUCCUGUUCUAUAAAGAUAA
Nerophis ophidion (straightnose pipefish) is the source of this 1079-nucleotide long non-coding RNA. RefSeq lists it as uncharacterized. Lineage: Eukaryota; Metazoa; Chordata; Actinopteri; Syngnathiformes; Syngnathidae. The transcript has 3 exons. The record is from RefSeq and is a predicted model, not a curated record.